This 464-nucleotide ribosomal RNA is filed under the name uncultured bacterium. RNAcentral describes it as "partial 16S ribosomal RNA". It matches the Rfam family "Bacterial small subunit ribosomal RNA", at positions 28 to 507 of the family's 1533-position model. The record is from RNAcentral.
GACGAACGCUGGCGGCGUGCUUAACACAUGCAAGUCGUACGGUAAGGCCCUUUCGGGGGUACACGAGUGGCGAACGGGUGAGUAACACGUGAGUAACCUGCCCACAACUUUGGGAUAACGCUAGGAAACUGGUGCUAAUACUGGAUAUGUGCUCCUGCUGCAUGGUGGGGGUUGGAAAGCUCCGGCGGUUGUGGAUGGACUCGCGGCCUAUCAGCUUGUUGGUGGGGUAGUGGCCUACCAAGGCGGCGACGGGUAGCCGGCCUGGGAGGGUGACCGGCCACAUGGGGCCUGGGUUCGGGCCCAGCGCCCACCGGGGGGCAGCGGGGGGAAUUUUGCCCCAUUGGCGGCAGGCCGGUGCAGCAACGCCGCGGGCGGGAAGGCGGGCUUCGGGUUGUAAACCGCCUUUAACCGGGACCAAGGUUUUUUUGACGGUACCUGCAGAAGAAGCACCGGCUAACUUCGUG